This 253-nucleotide ribosomal RNA is filed under the name uncultured bacterium. RNAcentral's name for it is "partial 16S ribosomal RNA". It matches the Rfam family "Bacterial small subunit ribosomal RNA", at positions 524 to 776 of the family's 1533-position model. The record is from RNAcentral.
UACGUAGGCAGCGAGCGUUGUUCGGAAUUACUGGGCGUAAAGAGUGUGUAGGCGGUGUUCCCAGUCUGUUGUGAAAUCUCCCGGCUUAACUGGGAGGGUGCAGCGGAAACUAGAAUGCUAGAGGGUGGGAGAGGUAAGCGGAAUUCCUGGUGCAGCGGUGAAAUGCGUAGAUAUCAGGAGGAGCACCUGUGGUGUAGACAGCUUACUGGACCACUUCUGACGCUGAGACACGAAAGCGUGGGUAGCAAACAGG